UACGGGGGGGGCAAGCGUUGUUCGGAAUUACUGGGCGUAAAGAGCUCGUAGGCGGCUCGGUAAGUCAGGUGUCAAAUCCUCAGGCUCAACCUGGGGCUCCACCUGAUACUGCUGUGGCUAGAGUCCGGUAGGGGAGCGUGGAAUUCCUGGUGUAGCGGUGAAAUGCGCAGAUAUCAGGAGGAACACCAGCGGCGAAGGCGGCGCUCUGGGCCGGAACUGACGCUGAGGAGCGAAAGCGUGGGUAGCAAACAGG
RNAcentral lists this ribosomal RNA (253 nucleotides) under uncultured bacterium. Its description in RNAcentral is "partial 16S ribosomal RNA". It matches the Rfam family "Bacterial small subunit ribosomal RNA", at positions 524 to 776 of the family's 1533-position model. The record is from RNAcentral.